GUGUGUGUGUGUAUGUGUCUUUGUGUGUGUGCGUCUGUGUGGGUGUGUGUGUCUUUGUGUGUGUUUCUGCGUGUCUGUUUGUGUGUGUGUAGGGGUGUAUAUCUGUGUGUGCGAGUGUAUGUGUGUGUAUGUGUGUCUGUUUGAACGUGUGUCUAGUGUGUGCGUCUGUAUGUGUGUUUGUGUAUGUGUAUGUGUGUGUCUUUGUGUGUGUGUGUUUGUGUUUGUGUGUGUGAGUGUGGGUGUGGGUGUAUAUGUGUGUGUGUGGGUGUGUGUGUGGGUGUGUGUGUGUGUGCAUGUGUAUCUUUGUGUAUGUGUAUGUGUGUCUGUGCGUGUGUGUGUGUCUUUGUGUGUGUUUGUGUGUCUGUGUAUGUGUGUGUUUGUGUGUGGGUGUAUGUGUGUGUCUGUGUGUGUGUUGGUGGGUCUGUGUGUCUGUGUAUGUGUGUGUGU
Molecule: long non-coding RNA, 447 nt
Filed under: Vigna radiata
Lineage: Eukaryota; Viridiplantae; Streptophyta; Magnoliopsida; Fabales; Fabaceae
Description: long non-coding RNA (VRAD_LNC006246)
Source: RNAcentral